Molecule: non-coding RNA, 72 nt
Organism: Ictidomys tridecemlineatus (thirteen-lined ground squirrel)
Lineage: Eukaryota; Metazoa; Chordata; Mammalia; Rodentia; Sciuridae
Source: Rfam
GGGGAUGGGGCUCAGUGGCAGAGCACUUGCCUCUCAAAUAUGAGGCCCUGGGUUCGAUCCUCAGCAUCACAU